UACGAAGGGUGCAAGCAUUACUCGGAAUUACUGGGCGUAAAGAGCUCGUAGGUGGUUUGUCGCGUUGUUCGUGAAAACUCACAGCUCAACUGUGGGCGUGCGGGCGAUACGGGCAGACUUGAGUACUGCAGGGGAGACUGGAAUUCCUGGUGUAGCGGUGGAAUGCGCAGAUAUCAGGAGGAACACCGAUGGCGAAGGCAGAUCUCUGGGCCGUAACUGACGCUGAGGAGCGAAAGCGUGGGGAGCGAACAGG
RNAcentral lists this ribosomal RNA (253 nucleotides) under uncultured bacterium. RNAcentral describes it as "partial 16S ribosomal RNA". It matches the Rfam family "Bacterial small subunit ribosomal RNA", at positions 524 to 776 of the family's 1533-position model. The record is from RNAcentral.